RNAcentral lists this ribosomal RNA (489 nucleotides) under uncultured bacterium. RNAcentral's name for it is "partial 16S ribosomal RNA". It matches the Rfam family "Bacterial small subunit ribosomal RNA", at positions 30 to 507 of the family's 1533-position model. The record is from RNAcentral.
UUGAACGCUGGCGGCAGGCCUAACACAUGCGAGUCGAACGGUAACAGGAAGAAGCUUGCUUCUUUGCUGACGAGUGGCGGACGGGUGAGUAAUGUCUGGGAAACUGCCUGAUGGAGGGGGAUAACUACUGGAAACGGUAGCUAAUACCGCAUAACGUCGCAAGACCAAAGAGGGGGACCUUCGGGCCUCUUGCCAUCGGAUGUGCCCAGAUGGGAUUAGCUAGUAGGUGGGGUAACGGCUCACCUAGGCGACGAUCCCUAGCUGGUCUGAGAGGAUGACCAGCCACACUGGAACUGAGACACGGUCCAGACUCCUACGGGAGGCAGCAGUGGGGAAUAUUGCACAAUGGGCGCAAGCCUGAUGCAGCCAUGCCGCGUGUAUGAAGAAGGCCUUCGGGUUGUAAAGUACUUUCAGCGGGGAGGAAGGGAGUAAAGUUAAUACCUUUGCUCAUUGACGUUACCCGCAGAAGAAGCACCGGCUAACUCCGUG